This 71-nucleotide non-coding RNA is filed under the name human gut metagenome. Its description in RNAcentral is "Cyclic di-GMP-I riboswitch". It matches the Rfam family "c-di-GMP-I riboswitch aptamer", at positions 6 to 74 of the family's 87-position model. Rfam says of the family: GEMM was predicted in a large-scale screen for bacterial structured RNA regulatory elements. The record is from RNAcentral.
UUUAAUUGGCAAACCUGUCGAAAGGCAGUGACGCAAAGUUUAGUGUCUAACCGGAGAAAUCCGUAUGAUUG